UGUCAUGGAUAUGCUCUUC
RNAcentral lists this microRNA (19 nucleotides) under Schmidtea mediterranea. RNAcentral describes it as "sme-miR-281-3p". Its record names the gene sme-miR-281-3p. Lineage: Eukaryota; Metazoa; Platyhelminthes; Tricladida; Dugesiidae. The record is from miRBase by way of RNAcentral.